Stegodyphus dumicola is the source of this 396-nucleotide long non-coding RNA. RefSeq lists it as uncharacterized. NCBI's taxonomy places the organism in Eukaryota, Metazoa, Arthropoda, Arachnida, Araneae, Eresidae. The record is from RefSeq and is a predicted model, not a curated record.
GUUUUUGACCAGUUUCUUUGUUUCUGCUUACAGCUUGUUUUAUUUCUGACUGCAUAUCUUUUCCAUCCUGAUCUGAGCCAAUUUUACUUGAUGCAGCAAAACCUAGGAUACAAAUGAAAAAAAAUGUGUUUGAAAAGGGUGACCAUGAAAAUACCAACCAGGAACAGCAACAAAAAAUUUUACAGCAUCUCGAUGACCAUGAAAUGACAACUGGGCCUGGGCCAUAGAGCAAUAUGGAAUAAAACCAGAUUUAUGCAAGCUGUCUCCAAUGUCAGAAUAAACUCUAACUACACUUCCUGGAGCUCGACCUGAAGAGUCUGAUGAUGCACACUGUACUUUUUCUGUAUAGACAAAAUUAACAGUACCAAUAAAUAUUAGAUAAUAACUUCUGGCAAA